CCCAUUCACGUUGAUUUAAUUUCUUCCUGAAUUUCGUUCCUCAAAUCCUAUCAUGCACAGCAUUGUGGAACUUUGAUCCUUUUCCACCUGCGAUUGAAAUGGUGGGAGUUUCUUAAAAUUCUUGUGGGGCGCUAAGUUGUUAGGAUUUUCGUUUCCUCUUGUUCUUGAUCGCCAUGAUUUCGUGGAGAAGUUCGCUUCAGGUUCAUACUGAUGGUGCAUUCAGUAAUCUAAUAUGGAGACGGCUGCAAUUGAUACAGGAAGAGCUGUCUUAAGGUGGUGGCAUAUAUGGUUUGCAUGGGAAGAAUAUCCUAGAUAAAUGUUAUCCACACAAACAUUAUUGGUGGGGGAUACAGUAGUCGGCACCUCCAAUGGUAAUCCACAUUUCUGAACAUGGUCAAAAUAUUGUGUAUAGGCCUAUACGGCCAUCUGAUCGAGAAGCUCUUGAGGCGAUGCAUGCCGCGCUGUUUCCUAUCAGGUAUGAACCAGAGUUCUUCUUGAAUGUGGUCAAUGGUCAUGAUAUCGUAUCUUGGGCAGCUGUAGACAGAAGUCGCCCUGAUGGGAAUGAUGAUGAAAUAAUUGGCUUUGUCACUGUACGUGUUAUGAUAGCAACAGAAAACGAGAUAGGAGAUAUUCUUGGUUAUGGUUCUUCAAGAACAAACCAGACACUAGUUUAUAUCCUAACACUUGGUGUAGCAGAGCAAUAUAGGAAUCUUGGAAUAGCUUCUUCACUUGUUCAAGAGGUUAUCAAGUAUGCUUCAAGCCUCCCCGAGUGCAAAGCAGUAUAUUUACAUGUGAUUGACUAUAAUGAAUCUGCCAUCCUAUUCUACAAGAAGAUGAAUUUCCGAUGUUUGCGAAGAUUGCCAAGUUUUUAUUAUAUCAAUAGUCAACAUUUUGAUGCCUAUUUGUAUGUAUAUUAUGUAAAUGGCGGGCGGUCUCCUCAAUCUGCACUAGACUUUGUGGUAGCAGUUACAACUUAUUUAAGGGGUAUUUUUACAUCGUGGGCAACGAGGCUGUGGAAGCGUGAACAGAAGAUUCCUGGAUGGUCAAAAUGUAAAAAGGCUACUUCCUUUUUCAACUUAAAUAGGAUGAUAAAAAGUACCAAUAACAGGGGAUGCCAGCAUGUGUAGCAGCGAACUGCUAAUAUGGAGAACCUCAGCUCCUACGUAUACAACACUAGAGCAGUUUUCUCAUUUCUGUGUUGUGAAGUUGGGACUCAAAAGUAUGCCAUCCAAGUGUGUUUGCAGGUAAACAGUGUGCUGCAACACACUUUGAACCGGCGUAGUCAUCCAUCAGACAAGUCAGAUCUUCAGUAUUUUGAUAAUGUAACAAACAACAGGAUUGCCGGAACGUUACGCUUUACUAAUAUGGACAGUCUCGGAAGUUUUUGGAAUUCAUCAAAUUGCAAAGAAGGGUACAGAAUGUGUACAUGGUUCUGCAGCGAACAAAUCUCUCAGCACUGGUACGAGUUUGUUCCGUAUUACAUCUCAUGAUUUGUUCCGUAAGAACAAUAAAAUCCAAGAUAUUGAAAAGGAAACAUUUCAUUUAAGUGUCCACUUUUACGUCACAAUCCUAAAAGUUGACCCUCAUU
Nymphaea colorata (pocket water lily) is the source of this 1588-nucleotide RNA transcript. It is a transcript of the gene named histone acetyltransferase MCC1, with no coding region annotated. The record is from RefSeq and is a predicted model, not a curated record. The transcript is spliced from 8 exons. NCBI's taxonomy places the organism in Eukaryota, Viridiplantae, Streptophyta, Magnoliopsida, Nymphaeales, Nymphaeaceae.